GCGGCGUGCUUAACACAUGCAAGUCGAACGGAAAGGCCCAGCUUGCUGGGUACUCGAGUGGCGAACGGGUGAGUAACACGUGGGUGAUCUGCCCUGCACUCUGGGAUAAGCCUGGGAAACUGGGUCUAAUACCGGAUAUGACCAACUGUCGCAUGGUGGUUGGUGGAAAGCUUUUGCGGUGUGGGAUGGGCCCGCGGCCUAUCAGCUUGUUGGUGGGGUAAUGGCCUACCAAGGCGACGACGGGUAGCCGACCUGAGAGGGUGAUCGGCCACACUGGGACUGAGACACGGCCCAGACUCCUACGGGAGGCAGCAGUGGGGAAUAUUGCACAAUGGGCGCAAGCCUGAUGCAGCGACGCCGCGUGAGGGAUGACGGCCUUCGGGUUGUAAACCUCUUUCACCAGGGACGAAGCGUGAGUGACGGUACCUGGAGAAGAAGCACCGGCCAACUACGUGCCAGCAGCCGGCGGGUAAUACAAC
RNAcentral lists this ribosomal RNA (479 nucleotides) under Gordonia sp. TF6. RNAcentral describes it as "bacterial SSU rRNA". It matches the Rfam family "Bacterial small subunit ribosomal RNA", at positions 39 to 529 of the family's 1533-position model. Lineage: Bacteria; Bacillati; Actinomycetota; Actinomycetes; Mycobacteriales; Gordoniaceae. The record is from RNAcentral.